Molecule: non-coding RNA, 2710 nt
Organism: Paramuricea clavata
Lineage: Eukaryota; Metazoa; Cnidaria; Anthozoa; Malacalcyonacea; Plexauridae
Source: the annotation of a GenBank genome assembly
GAAAAGCGAUCAAAGCUUAGCGGCCAGGCCUUCGCGAAAAAAUAAUGCGCCGCCAUCUUGGUUUUAAAAGUUUCCCAAAAUUUGCGAAGACAAAUAACAGAAUUUUACUACAUUUUUGUCUAUGUUACGAGCCAAAACAUUGCCAAAUAUAAAGACAGAUGACAUGGUAAGUGUAAUGUCGUAUUUAAUAACUGUUAUUUGAAUUAUUAUUAUAUAAAAUGUGCACAUGUAUCUGACUCAGGAGUGAGCACUGAGCAUUCAAACCCGUCAUCUAUAAUAAUAUUAAUAUAAAAGUAAUAAAACUGAUUGAAAGUGACUGCUUUCGUUCUUUGAAUGAUGGCCUGCCUGUUCACAACUCAUUAAUAUAUGUAUGCAAAAUUGUAAAGCACUCUGUUUGAAUUUUCAAGGAAGAAUUUGUCAAUUUGAGUAUUUGUAAACAGUUUUUCGCCUCUGGUACUUUUGCAUAUUUCCACAUUAAAGACAUUUCACUGCAAGUGCACAUAGUCCAUGUAUCUGUAAUUUUAAACUUCAUACUGUUUUGUACACAUGCAGCUGUUGCAGUGUUUCAGGUAUACCAUGCUAGUCACUACAAGUUCCCUUUCUGAUAUAAAGAGUCGUGAUGUACUGGUACCGUAAACUUACGACUAUAAGCCGCCCCCCGAAUAUAAGCCCCCCCCCAUGUAUAAGCCCAUCACAUGUACUAAAGCUCACCUCAUCCCAAAUAUAAGCCCACCCUGAAUAUAAGCCCCCCCCCGAAUAUAAGUCCCCCAAAUUGAUAUAAGCCCAGUAAUUGCUGCUUAAUACAUUUUUAAUUUCCUGUUUAUGACUGACUUGUAUAUGUUUGGCUUGUUUAUUACUAACACUAACACAAAAGAUCAUCCAUGUAUAAGCCCCCCCCCCUUGUAUAAGCCCAUCAAAAAUCGCUUAUGAAAGUAUUUAAAUUAAGCCAGGUUUUAUAGUCGGAGGUUUACAGUAUAUGUAUACAGUAUAUUAAAGUAAUUGGAAACCAAAAUUUCAUGGGAUAUAGGUAACAAUUGCAAGUGGAAUUAAUAGUUGAAACAACCUACUUUCCCUCAUGCAUAUAACUUGAUGUGGUAUGAGGGUCGCUAAGCCCGGGCUGGUCUAACCUGAGAUUGGGCUGUAUUAUACGGAUAAUAACCUGACACAAAUAUUAAUCCAAUCACUUUCCACCCCCAACAAAGUUUAUAUUUAGUAUCCAAUCAAAAUGUCACAGGAGAAAUUAAAAUUUCGCACAACGACAACAACAAUCUGAUUAUAGUUGUGAUCACUAUAAAAUAUAUCAACAACAACAGUAUAAUCUAAUUAACACCAACCAAUCAAAUAACAGAUUGAAAAAUCUUUUGUCUCGUAGACCAACCAGAUUUACAACUGAAAUACGGCUGUAAGGCAUGGACUUUGUUUAGGUUUGUUUCAGGCCUAUUUAUUUAUUUAUAGGCCGGAUGGCAGGUUAGGGCCUGACCAACAACUGAGGUAGGAUGCAUCAUCACUAUGGAAUCCAGACAGGCAUGUCAAUUUUUGGAAAUCAAAGUUGUCUAUAAAGUCAUAAAGACCCAAUACUUUAUUUCACAAAGAACUGCCUCCCCCAAUACCCCCAAGUAAAUCCAUCCCACUGCUACACAAAAGAAUACUUCUUUCCCUCUAGUUAAUUAACAAUGAAAGUAUAUUUUUUACAGAUCUCUGCAAUAUUACUUUUACAACCUUGAAGAUAUGAUUAUGAUGACAAAUGUUGGUACAUUGCAGAGUAUUUUGUACAUCCUAUAAACUUUUUGUAAUAUCCACACAAUAGAUAAAUUUGUAUCAUAAUUAAAUUUGUAUCACAAUCUGUAAUUUAAUAAAUAUUCAUUUCAUCUUGUUUCGUUUCAUGUUUUCUUAAUAGCCUGCAAGAAAAGAUCUUCUUAGAAAAUCUGAUAUUUUUUGAAAAUGUAUUACAAUGUAUAUACAUGAUCUAAUUGGUUCCUGCCCAUGCCCACCCACCUAUGUUUUUUCCAAUGAAAUUAAUAAGAGCAGUAUGUUGAAAGAGGUUCAAACAUGGGAGAUUUUCCUGCAAAACAUGGGAGAUUUUCCUGCAAAAGCUGGGUUUGCCUGAUAAGAGAGAUAUCACUAUGUAUAGCACAGGCCUUUUUUAAGUACUAUCACUAUUUGAAUUAUCACUAUUUGAAUUGCUCAAACCUGAUGCGGAGUAAAAUCAUCUGGCAUUAGACAGAGUAAAAUACUAAAGUAAGGCACAAUGGGGUGCAUUGCCACUUAAAGGGUUAAUGAAAUCAAAUCAACUCAGCAUAUGGUGUUCAGCCUCCAUAACUGAAAGCAAUAGACCCUUCCAAGGUUGACAAUGCCAUAAUGAAACAAUAGUACAAGGGGUGCAAACACAACGGAAUUCCCUAUAGGGGAGGUAAAUUUGCAAGGGGUACAAACACAAUGGUGAAAACUAUAUAUUCAAGAUGGCAUCCUUAACCUUGGAAGGGCCUAUUCUCAGAAAAAAAACUAUUUUUACUUCAUCCUGAGGUAAGCAAAGGUAAUUUUGAUCUAGGACAAGAGAGGUGACAGCUUUCCUAUAUGAAACUUUCUGACAUAUAAACAAAACAAAUUCAUCCCACUUACUGGUUUUGCUAGUUCCACAUAAUGCUAGCUCUGCAGCUUAAUGGGUUAAUUAUGUUACCAUUGCAAUGAUCCUGAAGAAAUUGAUAAAAAA